AAAACUCAAAUGAAUUGACGGGGGCCCACACAAGCGGUGGAGCAUGUGGUUUAAUUCGAUGCAACGCGAAGAACCUUACCUACUCUUGACAUCCUGCGAACUUGUGAGAGAUCACUUGGUGCCUUCGGGAACGCAGAGACAGGUGCUGCAUGGCUGUCGUCAGCUCGUGUUGUGAAAUGUUGGGUUAAGUCCCGUAACGAGCGCAACCCUUGUCCUUAUUUGCCAGCGGGUAAUGCCGGGAACUAUAAGGAGACUGCCGGUGACAAACCGGAGGAAGGUGGGGACGACGUCAAGUCAUCAUGGCCCUUACGAGUAGGGCUACACACGUGCUACAAUGGCCGGUACAAAGGGUUGCGAGCUCGCGAGAGUCAGCUAAUCCCGAAAAGCCGGUCUCAGUCCGGAUCGGAGUCUGCAACUCGACUCCGUGAAGUCGGAAUCGCUAGUAAUCGUGAAUCAGAAUGUCACGGUGAAUACGUUCCCGGGCCUUGUACACACCGCCCGUCACACCAUGGGAGUGGACUGCACCAGAAGUGGUUAGCCUAACGCAAGAGGGCGAUC
RNAcentral lists this ribosomal RNA (558 nucleotides) under Halomonas sp. SBC14. RNAcentral describes it as "bacterial SSU rRNA". It matches the Rfam family "Bacterial small subunit ribosomal RNA", at positions 896 to 1455 of the family's 1533-position model. The record is from RNAcentral. Lineage: Bacteria; Pseudomonadati; Pseudomonadota; Gammaproteobacteria; Oceanospirillales; Halomonadaceae.